RNAcentral lists this ribosomal RNA (397 nucleotides) under uncultured bacterium. RNAcentral describes it as "partial 16S ribosomal RNA". It matches the Rfam family "Bacterial small subunit ribosomal RNA", at positions 523 to 918 of the family's 1533-position model. The record is from RNAcentral.
AUACGUAGGGGGCGAGCGUUGUCCGGAAUGAUUGGGCGUAAAGGGCGCGUAGGCGGCCUGUUAAGUCUGGAGUGAAGGUCCUGUUUUCAAGAUGGGAAUUGCUUUGGAUACUGAUGGGCUUGAGUGCAGGAGAGGUUAUCGGAAUUCCCGGUGUAGCGGUGAAAUGCGUAGAGAUCGGGAGGAACACCAGUGGCGAAGGCGGGUAACUGGACUGCAACUGACGCUGAGGCGCGAAAGUGUGGGGAGCAAACAGGAUUAGAUACCCUGGUAGUCCACACUGUAAACGAUGAAUGCUAGGUGUAAGAGGUAUCGACCCCUUUUGUGCCGGAGUUAACACAAUAAGCAUUCCGCCUGGGGAGUACGGCCGCAAGGUUGAAACUCAAAUGAAUUGACGGGG